AUUGAACGCUGGCGGCAGGCCUAACACAUGCAAGUCGAGCGGAUGACGGGAGCUUGCUCCUUGAUUCAGCGGCGGACGGGUGAGUAAUGCCUAGGAAUCUGCCUGGUAGUGGGGGGCAACGUUUCGAAAGGAACGCUAAUACCGCAUACGUCCUACGGGAGAAAGCAGGGGACCUUCGGGCCUUGCGCUAUCAGAUGAGCCUAGGUCGGAUUAGCUUGUUGGUGAGGUAAUGGCUCACCAAGGCGACGAUCCGUAACUGGUCUGAGAGGAUGAUCAGUCACACUGGAACUGAGACACGGUCCAGACUCCUACGGGAGGCAGCAGUGGGGAAUAUUGGACAAUGGGCGAAAGCCUGAUCCAGCCAUGCCGCGUGUGUGAAGAAGGUCUUCGGAUUGUAAAGCACUUUAAGUUGGGAGGAAGGGUUGUAGAUUAAUACUCUGCAAUUUUGACGUUACCGACAGAAUAAGCACCGGCUAACUCUGUGCCAGCCGCCGCCGUAA
Molecule: ribosomal RNA, 500 nt
Filed under: uncultured bacterium
Lineage: Bacteria
Description: partial 16S ribosomal RNA
Rfam family: Bacterial small subunit ribosomal RNA
Source: RNAcentral